Molecule: ribosomal RNA, 334 nt
Filed under: uncultured eukaryote
Lineage: Eukaryota
Description: partial 18S ribosomal RNA
Rfam family: Eukaryotic small subunit ribosomal RNA
Source: RNAcentral
CCCUUAGAUGUCCGGGGCCGCACGCGCGCUACACUGAAGGAAUCAGCGUGGCUUUCUCCCUGACCCGAAAGGGUUGGGAAACCCGUUGAAUCUCCUUCGUGAUAGGGAUUGGGGCUUGAAAUUGUUCCCCAUGAACGAGGAAUUCCCAGUAAGCGCGAGUCAUAAGCUCGCGUUGAUUACGUCGCUGCCCUUUGUACACACCGCCCGUCGCUACUACCGAUUGAACGGUUUAGUGAGGGCCUCGGAUUGGUCUCGGCCCGCUCUUUACCGGGCGGCGCCGUUGGUCGAGAAGACGCUCGAACUUGAUCGUUUAGAGGAAGUAAAAGUCGUAACA